AACCGAUCGAUCCGAGCAAGCAAAUGAUGAUAUGGGCACAGGUCGCUCCUAUGAGUGUGUUUUUUGCAAGAGAGGCUUCACUACUGCACAGGCUUUGGGUGGACAUAUGAAUAUUCAUAGGAAAGAUAGAGCCAAGCCAAGGCCUAGCUCAGUCAUUCCUUCAAUUUCCAGCAAAGUUGAUGACGAUUAUUAUGCAAGUUUAAGAGGCUAUCCACCAAUUCAGAGCUACCCACCUCACUAUUCCACCGCUCAUCAUCACCAUCAUGAGGUACUUAGAAAUUAUCAAACAUUUUUUCCAGCAGCGUCUACAUGGGAUUUUAGACCCCCACAUAGCGACGAUUUGUAUGUGCAAAGCCCUCAGCUUUUGAAUCCUUUCGAGGAGGAUUGGCGAAGGAGUCUAAGCCUGCAAAUUGGUCCAUCCCAUGUAGAUGAUAAUAAAGGAAAAACAGAAGACGGCAGCGAAGCAGACGAGUUAGAUUUGGAGCUGAGACUUGGUCAUGAUCCAUAGUAUUUAUUAUUCUAUCAGGUAUUUGAUGAGGAACUUGCAUAUAUGUUAAUUAUAUAUAUAGCUGUAUUUGAUAUAUUAUUGUACAGCUAUGGAUUUUUCGAUGCUUCAAAAAAAUGGGGGAAAAUGUGGAAAAUUAUUAUGUUGCUUAAUUUAUAAGUGUAUUUUGGCAUAUCUUUUUGGGGCAAUUCUGCUGGGAAGACGUAUAUGGUAGGAGAGGGAAGUUUUCCACUUGUACGUUCAGGAAGAAAGACAAUAAAUUAUAAUAAAAAUUCCUAGUUAAAUUGCG
Molecule: unclassified non-coding RNA, 794 nt
Filed under: Hevea brasiliensis (rubber tree)
Lineage: Eukaryota; Viridiplantae; Streptophyta; Magnoliopsida; Malpighiales; Euphorbiaceae
Source: RNAcentral